Molecule: ribosomal RNA, 3595 nt
Filed under: Cantharellus cibarius (golden chanterelle)
Lineage: Eukaryota; Fungi; Basidiomycota; Agaricomycetes; Cantharellales; Hydnaceae
Description: LSU rRNA
Rfam family: Bacterial large subunit ribosomal RNA
Source: RNAcentral
GAAUAAUAUUAGUUUAUCAUUUCAGUUUAAAGUUCUUAUCAAUCUUUUAUCUAAAGACUGUAACCAGUUUGAGUACUAACCUAUUCGGUUUAGGUUAAGUUGAUAUGAAGGCUUAAUUAUGUUUUAAUUUAAGAUGGCGAUCCUAAGGGAAACCUUAUUAUUAUUACUUCCUGAAACAAAACAUUGUAGUAAGGAAAGGAAAGGAAAUCAACUGAGACUCUGAAAGUAACGGCGAGUGAAAUCAGACUAGCCAAAUCAUCAAAUAUCUAAGCUAUUAUUAAUUAUACGUAGGCCGUAUAUUCAUCUCUAGCCCACCUAGGGCUAGAUAAUAAGUAAUAUUACAUUAAUGAUAUUAUUUAACCAUAGAAGGUGAUAGUCCUGUUAUAGCUAAAAAUUAAUAAUUAUUAAAAAAUAAUACAACUUAAUUGUAAUAUUAUUAAGAUGAUAUUUGUUGAUAUAUAAGUACAACGGAAGAUACUCUGUUGGAAUAUAAGGGGAACCAUCCUCUAAGGCUAAGUAUUAUAAAUUUAGCGAUAGUGAAUAAGUACUGUAAAGGAAAGUCAUGUUUUGAAUAAGAGUUAGUUUUAACUCUUGACUAGUUAUUCUUAAUUUUUUAAAAAUUAUUAAGAUAUAAAUGUUAUAGUGAACUUAAAAAAUAAGUAUGAAAUAGUAGCUCUAUAAGCAAUUAGAAUUUAACUUAAUAUGUUUAACGUUAAAUGAUAAUGUACCUUUUGCAUAAUGGGUCAGCAAGUUAAUAGUAGUAGCAAGGUUAAAAUCCCUAGCGAAAGCGACUGUUUCUAAUUAAGAAUCGGGUUAAGUUACUACUAUUAGACCCGAAAUGAGGUGAUCUUGCCAUGAUCAGGUUAUAAUGGACCGAACGGGUGAAUGUUGCAAUAUUCUCCGAUGAAUUGUGGUAAGUAGGUGAAAGACUAAUCAUACCUCUAUAGCUGGUUUUCCACGAAAGAUAUUUAAGUAUCACAUCAUUCUAAAAUUUUAAGAUUUAGGAGGGUACAGCACGUUGAAUUUCAGACGAAAGUCAAAUUGGGGGGCCUUGAAAUCCUACCUUUGAAAAUUAACCUCGGAAUAUCCUAAAUUGAUGAAUGAUAGUCAGACUAUUCAUGAUAAGGUGGGUAGUCAAAACGUAAACAGACGUGAGCACGUGUUUAAGGUUCCCCAAAACCGUUUAAGUGAAAUUAAGGAAGUUUUCCCCUGGAUACAACUAUUAAGUUAGCCUGGUAGUCGCGAUCUUUUAAAGAGUGUGUAACAACUCAUUAGUCUAAGUUGGGGGAAAGCGCCGAAAAUUUAACGGGUCUUAAAACGGUUACCGAUACCGUGCUAUUUUAAUUAUAUUAUUCUAGUAUAAUUGGAAUAGGUAGUGGAACAUUCAGAGCGGACGAAAAAUAGUGUUUCAUUAUUUGGACGUAACUGAAGAGAUAAUGCUGACAUGAGUAACGUAGAAAGAAGUUAUAAUACUUCUCGCCGAAUACGAAAGGGUUAUUAAGCAAGGUUAAACCUCUUAAUGUGAUAUCGGUCUCUAAGGUUAUAGACGAAUGUUUAAACUGAUGAGUGUUUGUUCAAAUUUUUCAGUUGCUUGGUGUUAAGUUAGCAAAAAUUGUUUAAUCAUUAUUUGUUAACGACUUGAGUUGAGCUAGAAGCUUUAGCAACUGAACUUGAAGAAUAGUAGACAAUCAGGAUCGACUAGCGUUAAUAAUAAUCGUAACUAUUUACUUAAAACGGUAAAUGGUUAUUAUUAAUUACUAAAAUUAUUGAAUUAAAUUAAUUAUAAUUAUAAUCUUUUUUUUGUAAUUGAUUAUAGUACUUAUUAGCUAUGAUUCGCGAUGUUGUAGCAGGAUCCUGCAUAGUAAAAACCUUUUAAUCUAAGGAUCUACUAUGAUUGAUACCGUACCCUAAACCGACACAGGUUCGUAGGUACAGAAUACUAAGGCGAAGAGAUAAUACUUGUAAAGGAACUCGGCAAACUUUCCUCAUAAGUUAGACGACAUGAGGAGCCGUCUAAAGGACGGUGGCACAGAAUCGGAACCCCCGACUGUUUACUUAAAACACAGAUAUCUGCGAUGAUUAAAUUAUUUGUAUAGAUGUCGAAUUUUGCCCAAUGCCAUUAAUAUAAAGAAGGUGAGUUUAAUUUACCGACUGAAAAUCUGGUCAAUGGCGGUCUUAACUAUAAGGAUCCAAAGGUAGCAAAAUUCAUUGUCCGCUAAAUACGGUCCUGCAUGAAUAAAGUAACGAUGGGUUCACUGUCUCUACAAGUAUCUCAGUGAAAUUGAAAUAGCCGUGCAGAUGCGGUUUGCUUAUGGUUAGACGGGAAGACCCUAUGCAACUUUACUGUAAAUUGUUAUCAUUUUUUUUUAAUAUAGGUGUAGCAAUAUAAGGCAAUCGACAAGAUAAAAGUGAAAGACCUUAACUAUUAUUAAUUAAAUAUUAACCCCGAGGGCGAGAAACGCUGUUAUUAAUUAGUAUGAAACUAGUUAUAAUUACCUUAUUUAAUAAUAGCAAAUGACGUUAAUAGGGAGAUAUAUGACAAUUUGGCAGUUUGUCUGGGGCGGACGUCUUUAAUAGAGUAUCAAAGACACCCAAAAUUUAAUUAUAUUUUUAUAUUUAUAUCUUUCUAUAUUAACUGUUACUUUGUUAACUAUCACCUAUCACUCAGCCCCAUCUUAACUGAUAGGGUGACAACAGUGAUAGGUGAAUGAGUCCUAACGGGAGAGGGUGAUGGUGAGUGAAAGAAUAUUAAUAAAUAUAACAAUAUAUUUAUUAUGUUAAGUUAACAAUUUAAAGGUUUGCUAAAAUCGGAUGGAGACCGAUUAACUAUGUAUGGUUAAGAAGGUGUAAUGGCUAAAGCAAGCUUGACUGAGUGACCAAUAAGUCAAACAGAUACGUAAGUAGGGCAUAGUGACCCGGCGAUAUAUUAUGGAAUAGUCGUCGAUAAAUAGAUAAAAGUUACGCUAGGGAUAACAGGUUAGUCGCGGUUGAGAGUUCAUAUGGACACCGCGGUUCGACACCUCGAUGUCGACUCAUCCUAUCCUCCGGGUGUAGGUGCUUGGAAGGGUUCGGCUGUUCGCCGAUUAAAAGGGUACGUGAGUUGGGUUCAAUACGACGUGAGUCAGUAUGGAUCCUAUCUUCCAUAAGGAAAAAAAGUCAAAGGGGAAGGGCCUCUCAGUACGAAAGGAUCAGAUGGCUGUGUUUCUAUAGUGUACCAAUUGUUAGAUCGGUAUUAGUUUAAAGGAACUGUGAUGUUUAUUAGUUUUCUUUUUUAAGCUAAAUAACGUAUUAUUAAAUAGAGCGUUAAAAUUCUAGUAUGCUUAUAAUUAAUAAGUUUCAAGUAUUUAAUAUAGGUUAUGUAAUUAAUAUUUUUACAAAGAAUUUAUACAAAGUAGAAGAUCUGGCAUCGUUGGGUAGCCACAAACAUAACGGAUAAGAGCUGAAAGCAUAUUAAGCACGAAACCGUUCCCUAGAGACUAAUAAAACAAUUUAUAAUUAGCUGAUAAGUUACAUAAUUUAACUUUAUUUUAAGAAUUAGUCAUUAAUUUUGGAUAAUAGUUUAAUUAUUUAAUGUCUCCUAUACAAAAAUUAAAAA